RNAcentral lists this ribosomal RNA (724 nucleotides) under uncultured bacterium. Its description in RNAcentral is "bacterial SSU rRNA". It matches the Rfam family "Bacterial small subunit ribosomal RNA", at positions 755 to 1501 of the family's 1533-position model. The record is from RNAcentral.
GAAAGCUAGGGUAGCGAAACAGAUUAGAUACCUGUGUAGUCCUAGCCGUAAACGAUGUCCGCUAACUUUUGCCGACUUGUCGGCAGAGGUUCAAGCUAACGCAUUAAGCGGGACCGCCUGGGGAGUACGACCGCAAGGUUAAAACUCAAAGGAAUUGACGGGGACCCGCACAACUGGUGGAGCGUGUGGUUUAAUUUGAGACGAAGCAAAAAACCUUACCAGGGUUUGACAUGAUACCGUUUUAUGCCUAUGGAAACACUGGCAGAUCCGCAAGGAUGGUACCACAGGUGCUGCAUGGCUGUCGUCAGCUCGUGUCGUGAGAUGUUCCCUUAAGUGGGGAAACGAGCGCAACCCCCGUGAAAUGUUACAUAUUCAUUUCAGACGGUCCCGAUCAUAUCGGGAAGGAAGGAGGGGAAGACGUCAAGUCAGCAUGGUCCUUACACCCUGGGAUACACACACCCUACAAUGGCGAACAACAAAGGGCUGCAAGCCAGCAAUGGCAAGCUGAUCCCAGAAAUUUCGCCUCAGUUCAGAUUGGGGGCUGCAACCCGCCCCCAUGAAGUCGGAAUCAGUAGUAAUCGCGGAUCAGAAGGCCGCGGUGAAUACGUUCUCGGGUCUUGUACACACCGCCCGUCAAGGCAGCAAAGUCGGGAGUGGAUGAAGGCUAUCGAAAGAUGGACGAGUCCAAGCUUGGCGAUGAAGCUUAAGUCGUAACAAGGUAACC